RNAcentral lists this ribosomal RNA (813 nucleotides) under Pirena vazimba. RNAcentral's name for it is "partial 16S ribosomal RNA". It matches the Rfam family "Bacterial large subunit ribosomal RNA", at positions 1442 to 2561 of the family's 2925-position model. The record is from RNAcentral. Lineage: Eukaryota; Metazoa; Mollusca; Gastropoda; Pachychilidae.
AGCUCAUUUUACAUUUUACCUCACUAAGGAUAAGCUUAGUAAGGCUAUUAAAUAGGAAGUAUUUUGUCUAAAUUAGUUACGUAAGCUUGAAAUUAGCUAUCGACCUAGAACUUGUUAUAAAAUAAUUUUAAUAUUUAGAAAAAUAACUAUACUUAAUCCUACUUAAAACGGGGAUAAGCACGAAAAACUAUUGAUCUGGUCUAUUUAUGCUAGAAUGAGUAUUAAAUAUGCCCAAUUUAACAGGUUAGAUUAAAACAAGUGUACCUGCACUAAUAAAUAUAAAUUUAUUUAAAAUAAAAAUAAGGAACUCGGCAAAUUUUAGCUCCGCCUGUUUAUCAAAAACAUGGCUCUUUGAAUCUCUUGUAUAAAGAGUCGAACCUGCCCAGUGAAAUUUUAACGGCCGCGGUACUCUGACCGUGCAAAGGUAGCAUAAUCAAUUGCCUUAUAAUUGAAGGCUUGUAUGAAUGGUUUGACGGGAGCACUACUGUCUCUUUUUUAUUAAGCAGAACUUANCUUUUAGGUGAAGAGGCCUAAAUAUAAUUGAUAGACAAGAAGACCCUGUCGAGCUUAAAAAAAAGAAUUGGAACCAAACUAUAGUAUUUAAAUUAACUACUAAUUAACUUUUUUGGUUGGGGCGACCAAGGAACAAAUAAAGCUUCCUUUCUUUAAUUAACCAAUAAGUAAUGAUCCAGUAAACUGAUUAAAAGAAUUAGUUACCGCAGGGAUAACAGCAUAAUCUCUCCUGAGAGACCUAAUCGAAGGGGGGGGGUUGUGACCUCGAUGUUGGACUAGAGUAUCCUAAAGAUGCAGAAA